This 301-nucleotide ribosomal RNA is filed under the name uncultured bacterium. RNAcentral describes it as "partial 16S ribosomal RNA". It matches the Rfam family "Bacterial small subunit ribosomal RNA", at positions 509 to 807 of the family's 1533-position model. The record is from RNAcentral.
CAGCAGCCACGGGAAUACGAAGGGGGCUAGCGUUGUUCGGAUUAACUGGGCGUAAAGGGCGCGUAGGCGGGUUUUUAAGUCAGAGGUGAAAUCCCAAGGCUCAACCUUGGAACUGCCUUUGAUACUGGAAGUCUUGAGUCCGGGAGAGGUGAGUGGAACUGCGAGUGUAGAGGUGAAAUUCGUAGAUAUUCGCAGGAACACCAGUGGCGAAGGCGGCUCACUGGCUCGACACUGACGCUGAGGUGCGAAAGCGUGGGGAGCAAACAGGAUUAGAUACCCCAGUAGUCCCUGUCUCUUAUAC